CCUAGACCCGGGUGUUACUGUAGUGAUCUUCAGCAUACACAGGAAGAAGGGCUUUGUCUGAAUCCCUGGACUUGAAUACAGCCCCCCAGGUUUUAAGGGCUUGGGGUGAUCCUUGGACCAAAUUGUAUAGUUUGGUCCAACCUCUCUAUGUUUACAGCUGAGAAACAUUUUUUUUUUGAAUAUCUGAUAAAUGUCACAGCUCUCUAGAUGAUGUGAAAACAGCUCAACACUCAGAUUUGCAAAAGAAGGAAGGAUAAAAGCAGUAAGCAGUGCGAG
This is a non-coding RNA of Tinamus guttatus (white-throated tinamou), 276 nucleotides long. The record is from RefSeq and is a predicted model, not a curated record. NCBI's taxonomy places the organism in Eukaryota, Metazoa, Chordata, Aves, Tinamiformes, Tinamidae.